UACAGAGGAUGCAAGCGUUAUCCGGAAUCAUUGGGCGUAAAGCGUCUGUAGGCGGCUUUUUAAGUCCGCCGUCAAAUCCCAGGGCUCAACUCUGGACAGGCGGUGGAAACUACCAAGCUUGAGUACGGUAGGGGCAGAGGGAAUUUCCGGUGGAGCGGUGAAAUGCGUAGAUAUCGGAAAGAACACCAACGGCGAAAGCACGCUGCUGGGCCGACACUGACACUGAGAGACGAAAGCUAGGGGAGCGAAUGGG
RNAcentral lists this ribosomal RNA (253 nucleotides) under uncultured bacterium. RNAcentral describes it as "partial 16S ribosomal RNA". It matches the Rfam family "Bacterial small subunit ribosomal RNA", at positions 524 to 776 of the family's 1533-position model. The record is from RNAcentral.